AUCCAAAUGACGAGUCCCAAAUAGGAUGAAAAUUGCGUCCUAGAU
RNAcentral lists this non-coding RNA (45 nucleotides) under Schistosoma bovis. RNAcentral also lists the same sequence under 1 other name. Lineage: Eukaryota; Metazoa; Platyhelminthes; Trematoda; Strigeidida; Schistosomatidae. The record is from RNAcentral.